CACUAGAGGUUGUAGUGUACUCGCAAAUAUCCUCCUCUCUCUCUCAGGGCGCAAGUGAGUGAAAGGCUCGCGGUGCGAUGAUAGUCACUGGUUGAAAGCGAACAGCUGUCUUCCCGUUCCCACUGUGCAUCGAUGUCGACCGGCAGAUGGAAAAGGUAUAGAAGUUAUAGAGACCAAUAAUAGGGGAUUCGAUACGGCGAUCGAUCGGUCAAGUCCCGCCAGGGGGAUAGUCCCGCCAAGGAAGAUACAUCAACGCAUAUCCAUCGCAACAGUUCUGUCAUCUGAGGAUAGCGCAAGAGGCUGAAGCUGAAGCCAAGUUGGGUGUGUAAGGGGUCUACUGAGUAGCACAGAGGCAGAAGCAUAAAGGUAAGACUGGGAUGCUAAUACAUCACUCUGCUUUUCAACAGGUCUAAAGAACAUACACAGCUUCC
RNAcentral lists this long non-coding RNA (431 nucleotides) under Oncorhynchus kisutch (coho salmon). RNAcentral describes it as "lncRNA (ENSOKIG00005003557.1)". The record is from RNAcentral. Lineage: Eukaryota; Metazoa; Chordata; Actinopteri; Salmoniformes; Salmonidae.